GCUUGGGAACAUGCCUUGAGGUGGGGGACAACAGUUGGAAACGACUGCUAAUACCGCAUAAUGUCUACGGACCAAAGGGGGCUUCGGCUCUCGCCUUUAGAUUGGCCCAAGUGGGAUUAGCUAGUUGGUGAGGUAAUGGCUCACCAAGGCGACGAUCCCUAGCUGGUUUGAGAGGAUGAUCAGCCACACUGGGACUGAGACACGGCCCAGACUCCUACGGGAGGCAGCAGUGGGGAAUAUUGCACAAUGGGCGCAAGCCUGAUGCAGCCAUGCCGCGUGUGUGAAGAAGGCCUUCGGGUUGUAAAGCACUUUCAGUCAGGAGGAAAGCGUGGUGGUUAAUACCCAUCAUGUGUGACGUUACUGACAGAAGAAGCACCGGCUAACUCCGUGCCAGCAGCCGCGGUAAUACGGAGGGUGCGAGCGUUAAUCGGAAUUACUGGGCGUAAA
Molecule: ribosomal RNA, 447 nt
Filed under: Pseudoalteromonas translucida
Lineage: Bacteria; Pseudomonadati; Pseudomonadota; Gammaproteobacteria; Alteromonadales; Pseudoalteromonadaceae
Description: bacterial SSU rRNA
Rfam family: Bacterial small subunit ribosomal RNA
Source: RNAcentral